GAUAAAGGUAGAGGGAGUUAAAAUUAGGAACAAAUAUUAAUAAUAAGUGUAUUAUUCAUCAUCGAGGGCUUAUUCUGUGCCCUGCUCUGUGCUAAGUGCUUUGCAGGUAGUUCUCAUGUAAUCUUUACCAUAACCUUGUAGAGCACAGAAACUCAGGCGGAGCUUUCGCAGCCAGUGAGCAGAGGAGCUAGUGCUUGUGCUGAGCUUCUAGCUGUGGGAUAAAUCUGGAGGGUACAGUGAGGCUGGCCACUGGAGGAUCACGUGGGCUCCCAAGUGCCCAUGAUCCAUCAUUUAGCAUUCAGUUGUGAAUAAGACAGGGGUAUGGAGGUCAAACAUAUAGGAAAGGUAAGAGCUGAGUUCAUGUUCCAGAGGGCGAAAGUCAGGACGCAGAGGUGGGUGGGACUGUUUCUGUUUGGCAUCUCUUGAGUCAGAAAAGAAGCAAGCACAUCAGAACGGCAGCAAGAGGGAUCGAGAAUGCUGGAAGCCAAGCUUGCACAUUCUAGGCAGCCAUUUGGAAGAUUCUUCUCUGCGCAUGACCAGCUGAAAAGGAAAAACCCCGAAACAUUGGCACUGUGAUUUCUCCAUGUGAACAGUUUAGUUCGCCGAGGUGGACAUGCCUCAUUCAUGCUUAUGGAGUGACCGACCAGCCUUUAGUGACACCCCCUGAAAUGUGAGUCAUCCAUGGGUCACUAGUCAUUGGAGAAGAGCCCCUUAUACAAAACUUGGAGCUCAGACCACAAACAACAACAACAAUCCAAAAAAUAAAAAAAUGAAAAAUUAGGAGCAGAGACUAAAUGGAAAGAUGGAAAUAUUAAAAUAAAAAUAUUAUUUUAAAAAUUAAUAUGUAUUAAAAUUUUAUUUAAAGUAAAAAUAAAUAAAAUAAAAAAAUUAAUAUUAAUUAAUACCAAUAUUCUCCCUUUUAUUAAUAUCAUCAGAAAAAGAAGAUAUUUCAUCCUGGAAACAAGAGCAGAAU
Molecule: long non-coding RNA, 973 nt
Filed under: Homo sapiens (human)
Lineage: Eukaryota; Metazoa; Chordata; Mammalia; Primates; Hominidae
Description: HSALNT0368241
Source: RNAcentral